This 500-nucleotide ribosomal RNA is filed under the name uncultured bacterium. Its description in RNAcentral is "partial 16S ribosomal RNA". It matches the Rfam family "Bacterial small subunit ribosomal RNA", at positions 29 to 523 of the family's 1533-position model. The record is from RNAcentral.
AUUGAACGCUGGCGGCAUGCCUUACACAUGCGAGUCGAACGGCAGCGCGGGAGCAAUCCUGGCGGCGAGUGGCGAACGGGUGAGUAAUAUAUCGGAACGUGCCCAGUAGUGGGGGAUAGCCCGGCGAAAGCCGGAUUAAUACCGCAUACGACCUGAGGGUGAAAGGGGGGGAUCGCAAGACCUCUCGCUAUUGGGGCGGCCGAUAUCAGAUUAGGUAGUUGGUGGGGUAAAGGCCUACCAAGCCUGCGAUCUGUAGUUGGUCUGAGAGGACGACCAGCCACACUGGGACUGAGACACGGCCCAGACUCCUACGGGAGGCAGCAGUGGGGAAUUUUGGACAAUGGGCGCAAGCCUGAUCCAGCAAUGCCGCGUGCAGGAAGAAGGCCUUCGGGUUGUAAACUGCUUUUGUCAGGGAAGAAAUCCUCUAGGCUAAUACCUUGGGGGGAUGACGGUACCUGAAGAAUAAGCACCGGCUAACUACGUGCCAGCAGCCGCCGCGG